Plodia interpunctella (Indianmeal moth) is the source of this 957-nucleotide long non-coding RNA. RefSeq lists it as uncharacterized. The transcript is spliced from 3 exons. The record is from RefSeq and is a predicted model, not a curated record. Lineage: Eukaryota; Metazoa; Arthropoda; Insecta; Lepidoptera; Pyralidae.
UUGGAUUUGAUUACCUUGAAUGAACAUGAAUUGAGGAGAGGAAGUUAAUUAUAAUACGCGGCUCAUACAGUUCUGGUUUAGCCUUUACAUCAAGCCAGUGAAUUUUGAGCAGGUGCUGUAUACAAUACAAUCAACCUUUGUUGUUAUGUCUAAAUGCGAAAGUUUGGAUGGAAGUAUGAAGUUACUAAUCGCGCCUCAACCACUAAAUCGAUUUAUAAUAUUUAUUAUCAUUCUCCAGAAAAACAUUUGAAACCUGGUUUUUAUAUUUUUUCCUACAUCCUUGUGCCAUGAUCUGAGAAGAAACCACAUUGGCAGAAAUUGUGUCAGAGCUAUAGCAUUGUGUUAUAUGUGACAAAGUCAAAGUAAUACCAAGGUAACUGGAAGUAAAGCUGUAGGUUAUAUAAAUACUUUACCAUGGAUAUGAAGUGUCCUCCGGGCCUCAUGACUCCGCAGAGAAAUGCUAAUUGUAUGUUUCGAUUGUAAGGAAUUUUCUUCAUAAUAGCGGCGCAGUGAAUUGACUGCUCCGGUUAUUUUUAACCCACUUUCAACCUCUUCAAAAGACCGCACUUGGGAAAUGAGUGCUAAAUCUACGGCGUACAUUCAAGAAUCUGUUUGUAUUUAUUGGCGCAAGCUGGUUAUUUGUAAAUGUUCAAAUAAAAGUGCUAUGAAAAUGGUACCCUGAGAGAGCGGAUGUCCAGCACCCUUAAGCCUGAAAACGACGGUUGCAAAAAGCUCACUUUUGUAAUAGCAUAAUCACCAGUGAUCCAGACACUCCCUAUCAUGUUUACUUCACAAAAAUAAUCUAACGUAUAAUGCGUCAUAUGAAAUUUUUAUCUAUGCGAAGUGGCCAAGAAAAAGAAGAAAACGGAACUAUACUUAUAAAAUCUAAUACUACUUUUACAUGGAGAUUCACAGUGUCGAUAUAUUUUUACAUAAGUAUAUUCACAUAUCAUUAAA